CGUGUAGGCGGCCAUGUAUGUCGGAUGUGAAAUCCCUCGACUCAAUCGAGGAACUGCAUUCGAAACUGCGUGGCUUGAGUUCAGAAGGGGAGAGCGGAAUUCCUGGUGGAGCGGUGAAAUGCGUAGAGAUCAGGAGGAACACCGGUGGCGAAGGCGGCUCUCUAGUCUGCAACUGACGCUGAGGCGCGAAAGCCAGGGGAGCGAACAGGAUUAGAUACCCUGGUAGUCC
Molecule: ribosomal RNA, 229 nt
Filed under: uncultured bacterium
Lineage: Bacteria
Description: partial 16S ribosomal RNA
Rfam family: Bacterial small subunit ribosomal RNA
Source: RNAcentral